GAUGAACGCUGGCGGCGUGCUUAACACAUGCAAGUCGAACGGAGUUGAUUUAAGGAAGCAAGCUUGCUUGAAGAAUUGAAUUAACUUAGUGGCGGACGGGCGAGUAACACGUGAGCAACCUGCCUCUUACAGGGGAAUAACAACGGGAAACCGUUGCUAAUACCGCAUAAUAUGUUGAAAGGGCAUCCUUUUAACAUCAAAGGAGCAAUCCGGUAAGAGAUGGGCUCGCGUCCGAUUAGCUAGUUGGUAGGGUAACGGCCUACCAAGGCGACGAUCGGUAGCCGGACUGAGAGGUCGAACGGCCGCAUUGGGACUGAGACACGGCCCAGACUCCUACGGGAGGCAGCAGUGGGGAAUAUUGGGCAAUGGGCGAAAGCCUGACCCAGCAACGCCGCGUGAGUGAUGAAGGCCUUCGGGUUGUAAAACUCUUUGGACAGGGACGAAGAAAGUGAC
Molecule: ribosomal RNA, 453 nt
Filed under: Clostridiales bacterium oral taxon C16
Lineage: Bacteria; Bacillati; Bacillota; Clostridia; Eubacteriales
Description: bacterial SSU rRNA
Rfam family: Bacterial small subunit ribosomal RNA
Source: RNAcentral